UACCAGCUCUCCGAGUGGUAGGGAUGAUAUUGGGCUUAAAGCGUCCGUAGCCGGCUUAGCAAGUCUCCUGUUAAAUUCAGCGACCUAAUCGUUGAGCCGCGGGAGAUACUACUAGGCUAGGAGGCGGGAGAGGUCAACGGUACUUCCGGGGUAGGGGUGAAAUCCUAUAAUCCCGGGAGGACCACCAGUGGCGAAGGCUGUUGACUAGAACGCGCUCGACGGUGAGGGACGAAAGCUGGGGGAGCGAACCGGAUUAGAUACCCGGGUAGUCCCAGCUGUAAACGAUGCGAGCUAGGUGUUGGGGUGGCUACGUGCCACUUCAGUGCCGCAGGGAAGCCAUUAAGCUCGCCGCCUGGGGAGUACGGCCGCAAGGCUGAAACUUAAGGAAUUGGCGGGGAGCACCACAAGGCGUGAAGCUUGCGGUUC
This 426-nucleotide ribosomal RNA is filed under the name uncultured archaeon. Its description in RNAcentral is "bacterial SSU rRNA". It matches the Rfam family "Archaeal small subunit ribosomal RNA", at positions 474 to 903 of the family's 1478-position model. The record is from RNAcentral.